CGGACGGGUGAGUAAUGCUUGGGAAUCUGGCUUAUGGAGGGGGAUAACUACGGGAAACUGUAGCUAAUACCGCGUAAUAUCUUCGGAUUAAAGGGUGGGACUUUCGGGCCACCUGCCAUAAGAUGAGCCCAAGUGGGAUUAGGUAGUUGGUGGGGUAAAGGCCUACCAAGCCGACGAUCUCUAGCUGGUCUGAGAGGAUGACCAGCCACACUGGAACUGAGACACGGUCCAGACUCCUACGGGAGGCAGCAGUGGGGAAUAUUGCACAAUGGGGGGAACCCUGAUGCAGCCAUGCCGCGUGAAUGAAGAAGGCCUUCGGGUUGUAAAGUUCUUUCGGUGAUGAGGAAGGUGUUUGUUUUAAUAGAGCAAGCAAUUGACGUUAGUCACAGAAGAAGCACCGGCUAACUCCGUGCCAGCAGCCGCGGUAAUACGGAGGGUGCGAGCGUUAAUCGGAAUGACUGGGCGUAAAGGGCACGCAGGCGGUGACUUAAGUGGGAUGUGAAAGCCCCGAGCUUAACUUGGGAAUUGCAUUUCAUACUGGGUCGCUAGAGUACUUUAGGGAGGGGUAGAAUUCCACGUGUAGCGGUGAAAUGCGUAGAGAUGUGGAGGAAUACCGAAGGCGAAGGCAGCCCCUUGGGAAUGUACUGACGCUCAUGUGCGAAAGCGUGGGGAGCAAACAGGAUUAGAUACCCUGGUAGUCCACGCUGUAAACG
RNAcentral lists this ribosomal RNA (713 nucleotides) under uncultured Actinobacillus sp. Its description in RNAcentral is "bacterial SSU rRNA". It matches the Rfam family "Bacterial small subunit ribosomal RNA", at positions 99 to 808 of the family's 1533-position model. Lineage: Bacteria; Pseudomonadati; Pseudomonadota; Gammaproteobacteria; Pasteurellales; Pasteurellaceae. The record is from RNAcentral.